Sinocyclocheilus rhinocerous is the source of this 43-nucleotide ribosomal RNA. The record is from Ensembl. Lineage: Eukaryota; Metazoa; Chordata; Actinopteri; Cypriniformes; Cyprinidae.
CCUGGUUAGUACUUGGAUUGGAGACCGCCUGGGAAUAUCAGGU